Crocodylus porosus (Australian saltwater crocodile) is the source of this 3480-nucleotide long non-coding RNA. Ensembl annotates it as interleukin-20 receptor subunit alpha-like. Lineage: Eukaryota; Metazoa; Chordata; Crocodylia; Crocodylidae. The record is from Ensembl.
CAGAAAUAGAGCAGGGAAAGGGAGUGGGUAUUUCGGUCCCCACUGAUUUGUAAUCCUUUGCAGGUAGCUUGGGAUAUUUUUACCCCUUUCUAACUCUUCUAUAUGUGAGGCCUCUGGUUUAUUAAUGACACUAUCCAUGUUUGGAUUCUUAACUGGCCUCUUUUUCUACCCUAUAGAAGCAGCAGAGGAGAGGGACAGAGCAGGAAUCUCAGGGUGCCAGGGCAAUUGAAGGAUUGUCUUUAAAUACACAUACACAUAUUCUCCAAUGCUUUGCACUUGGCCAAAAAGGUCAUGGAAGAGGUAGGAAAAUAGAGGAGAGACUCUCUUGUCUGCUUCCUCUCCAGUCCAAAAUACCAACACUUUCCAUCCAAGAUAAGUCUUUCCUUUUUAAGAUGCUCCCUUUCCAGGGAAGGUAAAGGAGGAGGAAGAGAUGGGAAAGGAAGGGUACUGAUGGUAUCUUUGCAGUUUCUUAGUGCAGCUCUUCCACAGGUCUUCGAACUGGACCAAGGUGGACACUUGCUGGAAGAACAGCACCACAUUGUUCUGGACAUGUAAACUGUUUUUUGAAGACAUACAUAUCCUCUACUGGGCCAGGGUGAGAGCAGUGAAUGGAGUCAAUGUGUCUAAAUGGGUCACCUCCAAUGAACUGCAGCCAUACAGAGACACAAUCGUGGGUCCCCUUAAACUGAUGCUGUGGUCACAAGAUCAGAAUCUUACUGUAGAUAUAUCCAUACCACUUACUCCCUAUCAAAGGAAAAAUGGCUCCUAUAAGUCAGUCCAGAAGGUGCUGUCAAAAUUGCGGUUUGUUCUCAGACUUUAUGAAGACGGUGUUUUCCUCCUCCAAGUGAUCUGUAAGCCAAAGGGCAAGAAAAUUCAGCACACAUUUCAGUACUUGAAACCAAAUACCAAGUACUGCAUCAGAGCCAGAGAAGAGGAUCCAGCCAAAAGCAAAGAGGCAGUACAAUGUACCAAGACAAAACUCAGUCCACGAAAUUUCCUCUGGGACCUGGUUGUUGCUCUGAUCGUCUUCACAGUGCUUCUUCUGCUGGGUGCAGCUGGCCUGUACUUCCUCAAACUCUAUGUGUAUCCAAGCAUCUCAGAAAUACCCUUCCCCAGAAUUCUGGCUGUUCUGAAUGAAGAACUGAACAUGAAGGUCUGCACUGAGGCAUCUGCCUAUGACCUUGAAGGUGACUCUUUCUCUCUGCUUUCAGUGACUGGGCUUUCCUCCAGAAGUCACUUAACAAUAGAGCAGAAAACCCCCCAAACCCUGCUGCUUCCAAGAGGCUACCAUGCCCAGAAAGUGGAUGGGUACUGUGCCAAUGGGUUUGACCUUGUCUACCAUGAUAGUAAGACUAUUUGUAGUUCGUCCAAUCAGCUGAGCUUUGCUGGUGCUGUAGACUCUGAAGCCUCUUUAUCAUCAGCAGGACUGGUAAAGAGUAGAGAUUCAAGUGAAGGACAGUACAUGUCUGCUUUGAAGACCCAGCUUCCUGACGACUUCCUGGUGUCUCCUAAGAAGCCAUCUCCAGUGUCCACAGGUCUGGUCCAGGAUGGUUAUACAAGUGACAGUCAUUACCAAACUGGUUCAGGGACCCCGACUCCUUUGAACCUCCAGAGUUAUUCCAAACAUCCGUCUCUGUUGUCAGAAAGCAUCAACAGUAUCCCAUCACAUCAGUCAAGUGCAACCUUCUGCUCUAAGGAUCUUAAAAAUAAGAUUAGUGGCAUGAGGACAGAGUGGCCACCUCUUUGCUGGGGAGAUAUUCCUCUCAGCUCUGUGAAACUGCAGGCCAGUGGGAAGAUUGGAGGCCACUUUGUUCCAUCUCUUGGGGAUUUGUGUAAAUACAGCCCUCCAACAAUGAAGGACUACAGUGUGCAAAAAGCAAGCCUGGGUCAGAGUGCCAAAGCGUGCCAGGAGCACCUGCCUCUGAGUCAAGAGCAGUGUGAUCUCUUGGAGCAUACAGACUGCAGUAAUGAUGCUAGUAGUGACUUAUCGCCAGAGGCUAACAGCACUACAAAAAAGGCUUCCUUUGGCUAUGAGUUACACCCUCAAAACUGGUCCUGUACCCAAUGAUGAUGAAUCUGGGGAGAAGACACCAGGGUAUAGGGAGAUUUCUCACAUGUUUAUUCACAUCAAGUAGGCUUGACUCUCAUCUUGUAUUAUGGGGUAAAACUGUGAAAAGCUUUGCACAGUGGGAUCAGACUCUGGAAUCAGGUCCAAACCAAAACCCAGCUCCCAGUCUAGAAAUCUGCAUUGCCCAAGUUGGAUUUUCACUGCUGGGAUGAUGCUACUUGGGUAGUUAUCCAACAGAGAUAAAUUUGAGCUGUAAAUUACUUAGGUGUGUGAUUUUGGUCCCAGGCCACCUGCAGUUGAAAUCCAGUCAGGCUUAUGGUUUUUUCUGAAGUUUCAAGUGAGUUUUUGAGUCCAUCUGAACCUGAGAUAUAUAUAUAUAAAAAUAUAUAUGGUGAACAGAACAGAAGGGAAAAGCUCACAGAAUAACUGCAUUUCUCAUACAGUUUUUGUGACAGAUAUGCUAGAUGUGUCCAGAUGAGUUCAACUAUUUGAAGCACAACAAACCAUAAGUAACAAAUUUGCAGCAUGGCACCCAAAUUUGAUACUGGAAAUUCUUGGCAUCAAAAAAAACAAAAAACCACUGCAAAAACCCCCACAAACCUGGCAUGGCUCAUGCUCCAGGAGUGUGCUCUAGAGCAGUGCUUCUCAAAGUGGUGGUCCGCGGACUGGUGCCAGUCCACAAGCCACCGGUUGCCAGUCCAGGACAAGUUGCCAGGAAAGAAAGAAAUAUAUUUUCAGAAGCAUAACAUUGAUAUGUCAUAGCGUCACAGUUCGUACAUUCCAGUGCCCCAGGUGACAUCACAUCGUGCAAGGUGAGGAAAGAGAAAGAAACAGCCGGUCGCGCAUUUGUGUAGCGCUGUUGCAUGUAGUUGCUGCCACUGGUUGAACCGGGCACCAGUCCCUGGCCCACUGGAAAAAAAAUUGCUGGUCUGCCAUAUCAGAUAGUUUGAGAAGCACUGCUCUAGAGCAACUGGAGGCUGGGUCCUCCAGGGAGACAUUCUGGCUGACAGCCAGAGCGUCUCCACUGCUUUAGGUGUCCACCAGCUCCUUCAGCAUGCCAGGAGCUGGAAGGAGUGGGGAAACAGCAGGAAUGCAGAAACAGCUACAGGGGCAUUUUAUCCUGCAGCAAGCCUCAUGUACAGGGAUGUGCACAGAAGCAAAAAGCAGCAGCACAAAUCUGUGCUGCAGCAAAUGCAUGUCUAUGCAUGUGGGGACAUGCCCACUCAGCAGGGAAUGAAUGUUUUCUGACAUAUCUGGUGAGAUACUAGAAACAGUGCAUAUAUUAUGUUGUAAAUAUCCAUUUUAUAACAGUAAUUUAUUAUGGAAAAAUAUCUUUAAUGGCCUGAUAUUUCUGUGAUGUUGGAUGUCUCCAGCUCUGCAAAUAUGAAAUAAAACUGUAAUAUGCUGAAACA